GACGAACGCUGGCGGCGUGCUUAACACAUGCAAGUCGAACGCUGAAGCUUGGUGCUUGCACUGGGUGGAUGAGUGGCGAACGGGUGAGUAAUAAGUGAGUAACCUGCCCUUGACUCUGGGAUAAGCCUGGGAAACUGGGUCUAAUACUGGAUACGACAUGUCACCGCAUGGUGGUGUGUGGAAAGGGUUUUACUGGUUUUGGAUGGGCUCACGGCCUAUCAGCUUGUUGGUGGGGUAAUGGCUCACCAAGGCGACGACGGGUAGCCGGCCUGAGAGGGUGACCGGCCACACUGGGACUGAGACACGGCCCAGACUCCUACGGGAGGCAGCAGUGGGGAAUAUUGCACAAUGGGCGGAAGCCUGAUGCAGCGACGCCGCGUGAGGGAUGACGGCCUUCGGGUUGUAAACCUCUUUCAGCACGGAAGAAGCGAAAGUGACGGUACGUGCAGAAGAAGCGCCGGCUAACUACGU
This 471-nucleotide ribosomal RNA is filed under the name uncultured bacterium. Its description in RNAcentral is "partial 16S ribosomal RNA". It matches the Rfam family "Bacterial small subunit ribosomal RNA", at positions 28 to 506 of the family's 1533-position model. The record is from RNAcentral.